CUUGUUUCCAUGCAGUUCAGUCCUCUUUCAGGUUAUCUUACCUGAGAUUGGUGCCAGUGCAUUGCACAAAGAGCAACAACUACUCAAACGCCCUACAAAUACUCUUUUGACUGGAAGACAACAAAUUCCUGCAGACACACUCUAAAUAUUUGGAGGAAGCCCUUACAGGGCUAUUUAGUAGCUCCAAUUAACCUGAGAGUCAUUGGACUGUGGGAGGAAACCGAACCCACAUGGACAUGGACAUGGGGAGAACUUGCAAACUCCAAAUGGAAAGGACCUGCACAACCUGGGAAUCAAACCAAGGACCUUCUUGCUGUAAGAUGACUAGGUGCUACCCUCCAAUCCACUGUGCCGUCCCUCGAUUGUAAUGUUUCCUUAAUUUUUUUUGUAAUAGUAAUAAGUGUUUUG
Long non-coding RNA from Trichomycterus rosablanca, 408 nucleotides. RefSeq lists it as uncharacterized. The record is from RefSeq and is a predicted model, not a curated record. Lineage: Eukaryota; Metazoa; Chordata; Actinopteri; Siluriformes; Trichomycteridae. The transcript is spliced from 3 exons.